RNAcentral lists this non-coding RNA (71 nucleotides) under Ruminococcus sp. RNAcentral describes it as "Fluoride sequence". It matches the Rfam family "Fluoride riboswitch aptamer (crcB RNA motif)". RNAcentral also lists the same sequence under 1 other name. The record is from RNAcentral. Lineage: Bacteria; Bacillati; Bacillota; Clostridia; Eubacteriales; Oscillospiraceae.
AAUAUGAAUGGGAAUGAGGUUCUCCCACGGCUUUUGCCGAAACCGCUUUUGCUGAUGACUUCUGUUUUUUG